CUGUUGUGUUAAAGUUCAUUUGCAAAUGUUCUCUUGGUUGACGUUAUAACAACUGAGAGCUGUAUUUUUAUAAAUUUUAUAACUUUUUAUUGUGGAGUGUAUUGUUCUUAUAAAAUAUAGCUUUUCAAGAUGUUGGCCCAACCUAUGCAGAUGGUAGCCCCACAACCUGUAAUGGCAACUCCUGUGGUGACCGCAGCGCCGCCCAUGGUGGCAGCUGCUCCGAUGAUGGCCGUGGCCCCAAAUCCGUUCAAGUGUCCAGUCUGUGUUAAUGGUUUUCUGGUCACGAGGCCCCAUAUCAUGGGAGUCCUAAUGUGCAUCUUCCUGUGUCCUUUGGGCUGGCUAGUCCUGCUGCUCACGAUGAGGAGGUCAUGUCGAAUUUGCAAUUACCACAAGUGGAGGUUCUUUUAAGAGCUACGGAAUUGUUUUUGUUUAACCUGUUGUUUAAAGCUAUGAAGAACUUAUUUUUGUAGAUUUUAUACUUUUUAUAGAUACCGUUGGUGCAAUAUAUAUAGUUUUUAUUUCUCAUUGUUUUUACUGCAUCAAAUUGUCUGUUUUAUUGAGCAAAGGAUUUAACUGGAACUAGACCGAUAAUUUUAAAGUAUGUUUAGCAGAUGUUAUGAUAGUUGCUUUAUUAAUAUAAAUUAAGUUCCAGAAAUGUUUUAUAUUAAAUUUUAACUUUUGAAAUACUAUUAUGAACUUUGCAAUUGAAUAGGCAA
Long non-coding RNA from Macrobrachium nipponense, 716 nucleotides. RefSeq lists it as uncharacterized. The transcript has 3 exons. NCBI's taxonomy places the organism in Eukaryota, Metazoa, Arthropoda, Malacostraca, Decapoda, Palaemonidae. The record is from RefSeq and is a predicted model, not a curated record.